CGGGCAGUAGCGCAGUUUGGGUAGCGCACCACCUUGGGGUGGUGGGGGUCGCUGGUUCAAAUCCAGUCUGCCCGACCA
This 78-nucleotide transfer RNA is filed under the name bacterium. RNAcentral describes it as "tRNA-Pro". It matches the Rfam family "tRNA". Rfam says of the family: Transfer RNA (tRNA) molecules are approximately 80 nucleotides in length. Their secondary structure includes four short double-helical elements and three loops (D, anti-codon, and T loops). Further hydrogen bonds mediate the characteristic L-shaped molecular structure. tRNAs have two regions of fundamental functional importance: the anti-codon, which is responsible for specific mRNA codon recognition, and the 3' end, to which the tRNAs corresponding amino acid is attached (by aminoacyl-tRNA synthetases). tRNAs cope with the degeneracy of the genetic code in two manners: having more than one tRNA (with a specific anti-codon) for a particular amino acid; and 'wobble' base-pairing, i.e. permitting non-standard base-pairing at the 3rd anti-codon position. The record is from RNAcentral. RNAcentral also lists the same sequence under 1 other name.